GCAGGCUUUAGGGGGAAGAAGCUUCUUCCACUCACACACACUCACACACAACCUGAGUGGGGUAAACACCGAAGGAAGAAGCUGCAGGUCCAACAACCCAGAGGAGAUCUGGAUAUCGAAGCGCUCACAGGACUCAAUCUGGAAAUUCACUUGUGACUUCCUUCAGCGAGGACGAGUCUUGGCAGUGAGCUCCAGAAGACAGAGUAUCCGAGGCUGACCUUCCUGAUGUGACUGAAUGGACCCUGGACUGACGACAUGACGGCAGAGGAGCCCUCCGUCCCGUCGCUGACCCCUCUGACCUCUGUGACCGAGGUCAAGUUGAUAUUCAGGGGAAGAGCUCAAAAAUCGCAACCAGGAAACAGCAAACCAGCACGAAGAUAAACCCCCCGAGGAAGGGUCGACGAUCUCUGAAAGGUACCAAAAGGGAAAAAAACAGAAUGUA
Sphaeramia orbicularis (orbiculate cardinalfish) is the source of this 442-nucleotide long non-coding RNA. RefSeq lists it as uncharacterized. The record is from RefSeq and is a predicted model, not a curated record. NCBI's taxonomy places the organism in Eukaryota, Metazoa, Chordata, Actinopteri, Kurtiformes, Apogonidae. The transcript is spliced from 3 exons.